RNAcentral lists this small RNA (28 nucleotides) under Bombyx mori (domestic silkworm). RNAcentral's name for it is "ovarian small RNA-8357". The record is from RNAcentral. Lineage: Eukaryota; Metazoa; Arthropoda; Insecta; Lepidoptera; Bombycidae.
UGAUGAUGGUAAUUCUGUCUCUAGCUCU